Molecule: non-coding RNA, 230 nt
Rfam family: T-box leader
About the family: Uncharged tRNA acts as the effector for transcription antitermination of genes in the T-box leader family. T-boxes are found upstream of many aminoacyl-tRNA synthetase genes and some amino acid biosynthetic genes usually in Gram-positive bacteria. The anticodon of a specific tRNA base pairs to a specifier sequence within the T-box motif, and the NCCA acceptor tail of the tRNA base pairs to a conserved bulge in the T-box antiterminator hairpin.
CCAAAGAUUAUGAUAAGGAAUAGUAAUAAAGAUUCUAUUACUAGAGAGUUAACGGUUGGUGGAAGUUAACAUAGAACUUUUAUGAACUCGCCUUUGAAUCGGAACCUGAAUGGAGUAAGGUUACCCGUAUGCCUGCGUUAAAGGUUUGAAGUGAGUGCUGAUUCUAGCACUAAGCCGGGUGGUACCGCGGGUGAUUAUGAAUUUUAGAUUCAGAACCUCUCGUCCCUGUU